This is a long non-coding RNA of Poecilia latipinna (sailfin molly), 211 nucleotides long. RefSeq lists it as uncharacterized. Lineage: Eukaryota; Metazoa; Chordata; Actinopteri; Cyprinodontiformes; Poeciliidae. The record is from RefSeq and is a predicted model, not a curated record. The transcript has 3 exons.
AAAAAUGUCAUUUUGGAAAGAUUUCCAGUAGCUGUAAGUCUUGCAACAAAUCUGAAGAGGCCUUCAGAUUGAAGACACUGUUGCUUUAAAACAGUCUCAUAACUGUCAUAACAUGCUAAAAACUCAAUAUGCAGGUACUAUGCUGUUUAUGAGUACGGAGUGACACUCAGGAUAAUUGUCUGAGUGCCAAGGAGAAACCCAACAGAUUUAC